This 401-nucleotide ribosomal RNA is filed under the name uncultured bacterium. RNAcentral's name for it is "partial 16S ribosomal RNA". It matches the Rfam family "Bacterial small subunit ribosomal RNA", at positions 359 to 774 of the family's 1533-position model. The record is from RNAcentral.
GAAUAUUGGGCAAUGGGCGCAAGCCUGACCCAGCAACGCCGCGUGAGGGAAGAAGGCCUUCGGGUUGUAAACCUCUGUCCUUAGGGAAGAAGAAAGUGACGGUACCUAAGGUGGAAGAUCCGGCUAACUACGUGCCCGCAGCCGCGGUAAUACGUAGGGAGCGAGCGUUGUCCGGAAUUACUGGGCGUUAAGGGUGCGUAGGCGGCGACGUAAGUCCGAUGUGAAAUCCCCGGGCUUAACUCGGGGGGUGCAUUUGAAACUGCGUGGCUUGAGUGCAGGAGAGGAAAGUGGAAUUCCUAGUGUAGCGGUGGACUGCGUAGAUAUUAGGAGGAACACCAGUGGCGAAGGCGACUUUCUGGACUGUAACUGACGCUGAGGCACGAAAGCGUGGGGAGCAAACA